Molecule: regulatory RNA element, 52 nt
Organism: Oryctolagus cuniculus (rabbit)
Lineage: Eukaryota; Metazoa; Chordata; Mammalia; Lagomorpha; Leporidae
Rfam family: MAT2A 3'UTR stem loop C
Source: Rfam
GCUCUCUGAAUGACUGGUGUGGCUGCAGAGAAACCAGCUUCCUUUAGAGAGC